GAUGAACGCUAGCGGGAGGCCUAACACAUGCAAGCCGAGCGGUAUUGUUUCUUCGGAAAUGAGAGAGCGGCGUACGGGUGCGUAACACGUGUGCAACCUGCCUUUAUCUGGGGGAUAGCCUUUCGAAAGGAAGAUUAAUACUCCAUAAUAUAUUGAACGGCAUCGUUUAAUAUUGAAAGCUCCGGCGGAUAGAGAUGGGCACGCGCAAGAUUAGCUAGUUGGUGAGGUAACGGCUCACCAAGGCGAUGAUCUUUAGGGGGCCUGAGAGGGUGAUCCCCCACACUGGUACUGAGACACGGACCAGACUCCUACGGGAGGCAGCAGUGAGGAAUAUUGGUCAAUGGGUGCAAGCCUGAACCAGCCAUCCCGCGUGAAGGACGACUGCCCUAUGCGUUGUAAACUUCUUUUGUAUAGGGAUAAACCUACCCUCGAGAGGGUAGCUGAAGGUACUAUACGAAUAAGCACCGGCUAACUCCGUG
RNAcentral lists this ribosomal RNA (479 nucleotides) under uncultured bacterium. Its description in RNAcentral is "partial 16S ribosomal RNA". It matches the Rfam family "Bacterial small subunit ribosomal RNA", at positions 28 to 507 of the family's 1533-position model. The record is from RNAcentral.